GCUGGAGUGCAGUGAUGUGAUCUCGGCUCACUACAACCUCUGCCCCGCCUGGAUUUAAGCAAUUCUCCUGCCUCAGUCUCCAGAGUAGCUGGGAUUACAGGCCAGUGGAUUCUCAGAAUUCAUAGCAUUACCUUGCUGAGUGGGCAGUGCUCCAGGACACCUGUGAUGACUUCACUUCCAAGUGCCCACCUGAGCCAGGCUGGUACCCACCUGAAGGAAGGCCACCAAACAGCAUCUAAGCCUGGCUGCCAAAGGAAAGGCAGGACAGGUAUUCUGAGGUUGGGCACAGGUCAAUCUGAGGUGGUUGGCCCUGGGGAUGCAACAGUUGUUGUUUGUUGUUUUUUGAGACGGAGUUGUGCUCUGUUGCUCAGGUUGGACUGCAAUGGCACUAUCUCAGCUCACUGCAACCUCUGCCUCCUGAGUUCAAGCGUUUUUCCUGCCUCAGCCUCCCAAAUGGAGUCUCACUCUGCCCCCAGGCUGGAGUGCAAUGGCAUGAUCUCGGCUCCCAGCUCACUGCAACAUCCGCCUCCCGAGUAUCUGGGAUUAUAGGCGCCCACCACCAAGCCCGGCUAAUUUUUGUAUUUUUAGUAAAAACGAGGUUUCACCAUGUUGGCCAGGCUGGUCUCAAACUACUGACCUCUAGUGAUCUGCCCACCUCAGUCCCCCAAAGUACUGGGAUUACAGGCGUGAGUCACUAUGCCUGGCCAAUUUUUCUGUAAAUCUAAAACUGUUCUAAAAAUAAAGUCGAUUAUUUUAUUUAUUUGUUUGUUUAUUUUGAGACAGAGUCUAGCUCCGUCAGCCAGGCUGGAGUGCAGUGGCACAAUCUCGGCUCACUGCAACCUCUGCCUCCUGGGUUCAAGUGAUUCUCCUGCCUCAGCCUCCCGAGUAGCUGGGACUACAGGCACCUGCCACUACACCCGGCUAAUUAAGUCUAUUAUUUUAAAAAUUACAUCUGUUUGUUUAUUUGGAUUUUUUUUUUUUUUUUUUUUUGAGACAGAACCUUGCUCUGUCACCUAGGCUGGAGUGUAGUUGCACAAUCAUGGCUCACUGCAGCCUUCACCACCUGGGCUCAAUCAAUCCUCCUGCCUCAGCCUCCCAAGUAGCAGCAGGGACUACAGGCAUGCACCACCAUGCCCAGCUAAUUUUUACGUUGUUUUUUUUUUUUUUUUUUUUGUAGAGAUGUGUCUCACCGUGUCGCCCAGGCUGGCUGGCUAUUUUUUUCUGUUUUCUGUAGAGACAGGGGUCUCACUAUGUUGCCCAGGCUGCUAUCAAACUCCUGGGCUCAGACUCCCAAAAUGUUGGGAUUACAGGUGUGAGCCACCACACUUGGCCUAAAAGCUACAUCUGUUUUAAUAUGAACUACCUAAUACCUGGCAAGAUGAUGGGCUGAGGGGAGACCAGCAGGCUGAAGCCUCAGAGCCUCAGAGCAUCCACUUCUGUUAGUGCAUUCCUGCCAUAGAAAGUUCAUUUCGGAAAGAGGAAUAUUAUCUUUUUUUUUUUCCAGACAGGGUCUCACUCUGUCGCCCAGGCUGGAGUGCAGUGGUGCGAUCUCGGCUCACUGCAAUCUCUGCCUCCUGGGUUCAAGUGAUUCUUAUGCCUCAGCCUCCUGAGUAGCUGGUAUUGCAGGUGCCUGCCACCAUGCCCCCCUAAUAAUCCAGCGAGGAAUACUAUUCCUUUUUAAAUGACUGGCAGUUAGGACUGUUUGUUUUGUUUGCAGCAACCAUGUAAAGGCAAAGCCACCCAUGUGGUGUGGAAGGGCAGGAACUGGUCCUGUGCCAAGUUGUGCCUUCUCUCUCUGUGGUGGAGGGGGUGGUGGGGCCUGCAGGGAACUAGGCAAACUCAGGCCCUGCCAAAAGGGAUGACAGAUGCUCCCCUCCAGCUGGCAAUAGCCGUGGGACAGAGAGGACCCAGAACUGCCAGAUCUUUCCAUAUUUCAAAAGAAAUGAUUAAUCUAGCUUUUCAUGAGAAGUCUCCUGAUUUUUAAAUGUUGCCAAGUAAUUCUAAUUUUAUUUAAACACUGCUCACUAUAUAAACAAUAUACAUCCAGCUCAGUAUACAAUACACAUCCAGUCAAGCACUACCUAGGUUGAGUUACUCAAGGGUGGGAUAAUAUGGUUUUAUUCUUUCUGUGCCCCUCAGGACAUAGCACAGCACCUGAUGUGUAAUUGCUACUCCAAAAUAUAUAUGGAAUAAUGAACAAAAUAAUACAGUUAGGGAAAUUAGACAUACAUAUACUGACAAUUAUUUAUUUAUUUAUGUUGAUAUGGAGUUUCACUCUUGUUUUCCAGGCUGGAGUGCAAUGGCAUGAUCUCAUUUCACUGCAGCCUCCAUCUCCCGUGUUCAAGUGAUUAUCCUGCCUCAGCCUCUUGAGUUGCUGGGACUACAGGCAUGCGCCAUCAUGCCCAGCUAAUUUUUGUAUUUUUGGUAGAGACAGGGCUUCACCAUGUUGGCCAGGCUGGUCUCGAACUCCUGUCCUGAGGUGAUCCUCUUGCCUUGGCCUCCCAAAGUGCUGGGAUUACAGGCCUGAGCCACUGCGCCCAGCCUAUAUUGACAAUUAAUGAUCGAACAGAUGAAUAGAAUGGGUUGCGAUGCAAAUCACCACCAUGCAUCUUUGUGAUUCUCCCAGCAAUGCAGUAUUGAUUUUGAUUUACAAUUUUGGCAUAGUUAGCUCCAGGGGUUUCCACUUGGAUGCCUUCAUUGCAUGAACUAAGG
Molecule: long non-coding RNA, 2712 nt
Filed under: Papio anubis (olive baboon)
Lineage: Eukaryota; Metazoa; Chordata; Mammalia; Primates; Cercopithecidae
Description: lncRNA (ENSPANG00000039337.1)
Source: RNAcentral